CAGAGCAAAGGCCUACUGACUGGGUAAAGUGUCCAGGUCUCUUGCAUUCUCCUCAGUCUCUAUACCUAGAAUGAAGGGAAGCCCAGCUGAAGACCACUUCCAAGGAGAUGGAGACCCAGACAUAAGACUGACCUCAGAAGUUCUGAGUGCUACAAACCAGGUCCAGGUGCUGGGGUCACAUGCCUGCACCACCAGAUCUGUCACCCUCCGUUGCUGGGC
This 219-nucleotide long non-coding RNA is filed under the name Rattus norvegicus (Norway rat). Its description in RNAcentral is "long non-coding RNA NONRATT031370". The record is from RNAcentral. Lineage: Eukaryota; Metazoa; Chordata; Mammalia; Rodentia; Muridae.